CGGGUGCGUAACACGUGAACAACCUGCCCUCGUGUGGGGGAUAGCCAUGCUAACGCGUGGGUAAUACCGCAUACGUUCUUUUGGGGGAGUCCCUGAGAGAAGAAAGCUCCGGCGCACGGGGAGGGGUUCGCGGCCUAUCAGCUAGUUGGUGCGGGUAAUGGCCCACCAAGGCGACGACGGGUAGCUGGUCUGAGAGGAUGGCCAGCCACAUUGGGACUGAGAGACGGCCCAG
This 232-nucleotide ribosomal RNA is filed under the name uncultured bacterium. RNAcentral describes it as "partial 16S ribosomal RNA". It matches the Rfam family "Bacterial small subunit ribosomal RNA", at positions 103 to 334 of the family's 1533-position model. The record is from RNAcentral.